Molecule: long non-coding RNA, 2640 nt
Filed under: Homo sapiens (human)
Lineage: Eukaryota; Metazoa; Chordata; Mammalia; Primates; Hominidae
Description: non-protein coding lnc-PYDC2-1:2
Source: RNAcentral
AAACCCAUAAUCAAUGUCUGGAUCCCUGAUGAACUGAGACUCACAUUGAUCUUUCAAUAUGUCCAAGCCUCCAACUGGAAUGAUUUGGUUAUCCUGCAGGAAAUGCUGGAGUCCUUCAUCCGAAUGGUAAAUGGCACUUGUGACAAAAAUCAAAGUAACUAAAAAAGAAUCUGGUUGAAACCUCAGUAACAGUUGGCCUGUCUACUGCCUCACACUAACAAGGGGGAGCUAAUAAAACCGAGGUUAGAACACACAAUGUGGAAAUGAAAACCUUAUUCUUGUCAAUGGAUGGAGGGUGGUGACCCCCACCUUUACAAGUGUCUGUAAUUCUCACUAGCAGUAUAUUAGAGGGCAAAAGAUUUGAACAGACACAUCAGAAAAGAAGACAUACAAAUGGCCGCUAAGCACUUGAAAGGAUUCUGAACACCAUUAGUCAUCAGUGAAAUGCAAAUUAAAGCCAUAAUGAAUGGCGCUAUACAUUUUCAGAAUGGCAAGGAUUGAAGACCGAAAAAAAUCAAGCGUUGAGGAGAGUGACAAAUGGGGAGACAGCCGUGGUGCAUGAUCGCCGAAUAAAUACCAUGUGAGGAUACAGCAAGAAGGUGGCCAUCUACAAGCCAAGGAGACAGGCCUCAGAAGAAACCAACCCUUCUUACACCCUGGACUCAGACUUCUAAUCUCCAGAACUUGUUAAUGCACAAGGUCUUGUGUUGAAAAUGUAGAGCCACGAGAUAAAAGCAGCUUGGAUGGCUGACUCAUAUACAAGGACAACUGCCUGAGAGUCACCAGGGCUAUCAAGAAGUUUGCAGAAACAAGAAAUAAACUUUUACUGUUUUAAACUUUUGUGAAUUUUGGGUUUUGUUUAUCACCAAAUAAACCUAGUCUAUUCUGAUUGUUAUAAGUGGUUAAUUUGGGAAGUCAGAUAUAUUUAAAAUUGGCUUACUGCUGUAACAUAUACAGUCCAAAUUACAUAAUGGCUCAAAUGCAAUAGAAGUCUUUUUUUUUUUUGCUCACAUAUCACUUCACUGAGAUUCUGCAUUAAUUGUAAUGAUGAGGGUGAGGGUGUCUUAUAUCAUACAGUUGUUCAGCAACCCAGGAUGACCAACUUUGUAAUAUUUUUUCCCACUGGCUUCUAAAGUUCUCAUAGAUAGUAAAAUUCAUUUGGAAGAAGGAGAAACAGCAUGGAGGAUUGCAGAUGGAGAUUUUUAUGGGAAGGCUUGGAGGUUUGGAGGUUACACAUUACUACUUUUACUUGUUGGCUAGGAAACUAUCACGUGGUCACACCUAAGUGCCAGUGAGUCUGACAAUGUGGCAAUUUGGUUGCGGGCCAGGGGUAAGAGGCAAUAAAUUUUGCUCAAUAAUUAUCAGUUUUUGCCACAGAUGGAGGGACUUUUCAUUGUAUAACUAGUUGUUACUGUUUGAAUUUAAAACAGGAAAAUAUCAUUUUCAAAUAAAAACACAAAAGUGGCACAAAAAAUUCUUAUGAUUUUUUUUGCUUGAAUUUUGUGCAUUUAUUUGGCUAUUAUUAAAGUAAAUAAUUCUCUUUAUAGAAAAUGUAGAAAAUAACAAAAAAUAAAUAAGCAGAAAGUCAUCCAAUAACCCCCAUGAUCCCAGCAUAAUAAUCUUUUUUAAGGUAACUGAAAUGACCAUCCUUCUUUUACAAUUGCAAACGCUAACACCCAGGGAUUUUAAGAAAUUUGUCAACUCUAGUAAGUGGUAGAGCACAGAGAAAAGAAAAGCCAGGGAAGCUUUUACAGAGCAGGAGACAAGGAUAGAAAAGGACUUAUGAAUGGGGAAACACAAUUGACAAAUUAUUUUAAAAUAUUGCAGGUUUAAUCGCAUGGAGAGAGAGAGCAUAGAACACGAGAAAUAUACCAAAACAACAGAGGUAAUGACCUCAGCUUUAGAGAUUUCCCAUUUUAUUAUAGUUUUAUUUCCAUUUAGAUAUGUCAUUUAGAUAUUAAGGUGUCACUGUCCAAUAAGGCAGUAUGAACCUGGGUUCUGGAUGAAGACUAGUCGGGAUAUUGUGUCAAUGACAGUAAUUGAAGGCACUGGUGUUAAAGGCUGUAGAUAGAGUUGUGAUGAGUCAGAAUUUUGAGCAAUUUAAAAGUUAGAUGUUGUACAGAUUGUUGAAGGCUAGAAUUGUUUUUUGUUUUUUUGUUUGUUUGUUUGUUUCUUUUCUUAAAACCCUGGCCCAUUUCCCUGAAGAGCUCCCACUGGAAAAGUCAUAGUUGGAUAUGGUGUGAGAAGCUGGCCAGGAUUCGAAAUGGUGAAUGUGGCAACCCGUUGGCUGCCUGGUAUAAAAUACAUCCAGGUGUUCAAUUCUGAGCUCCAAGGCUAACUAUUAUUAUUAACUAUAGUGUGCAUCCAUUCCUAUAAAUAUCAGAAGACUGGGAACUCAGAUAGCUUAUUUUGCUCCUGAAUCUGUUACUGAGUAGCAAUAUGAACUAAAAAAAUUAUUUUUCCAAGCAGGGCUUAGAUUUCCUCGUAUCUAAAAUGAGAAGAAUAGAAUAAAUAAUUUAACUACCCAGCUCUGAAACCCAGACUCCAUGAUAAGAAUAAGCAUUUUCCCAAACUCCAAAACUUAGUAUUCUUUUAUAGAAAUUAUUACUUUCUUCUUCAUCCCCUGGUCUCUGCAUAAAC